This is a long non-coding RNA of Meriones unguiculatus (Mongolian gerbil), 470 nucleotides long. RefSeq lists it as uncharacterized. The transcript has 4 exons. Lineage: Eukaryota; Metazoa; Chordata; Mammalia; Rodentia; Muridae. The record is from RefSeq and is a predicted model, not a curated record.
AGAUCUGAGGUCGGCCUGAGCUACACAGUGAUAUCUCUUCACAGAAAAACAAAGGCAAAUGUGCCGAAGGAUGCUGGUUCUGCUGUGGCAUAAAAUGUUAUUAUAUCAUCAUGGAAGCGAAACAGUGGAGGGAAUGUAAACAGACCUGCCAGGAUUGCAGCUUAUCCCUCUUGAAGAUAGAUGAUGACAGUGAAAUGAAGUUCCUUCAGCUCCAGAUUUCUCCAAACAAUUACUGGAUUAGAUUGUCAUAUGAUAAGAAAGAAAGGAAUGGACAUGGAUUGACAGUGGCCCAUCUAAACUGGCUCAUGGUAAGGACAAGGUGCAUAAGGCAGUGUCUCAGCAAGUGUUACACAGGGAAGAUGUAUGGUCAAGGAGCUGACUAAAAGUGGCUUAAUACUGCGUACAUCUCAGGAUUGUCUGUGCCAGGAUGCACAAGGCACAGUCAAAUCAACGGCUCAAGAUGAUGUAGA